Oncorhynchus tshawytscha (Chinook salmon) is the source of this 556-nucleotide long non-coding RNA. The record is from Ensembl. Lineage: Eukaryota; Metazoa; Chordata; Actinopteri; Salmoniformes; Salmonidae.
AGGAGAGUAGCAGAUGAUGUGGCUGUGUCAGUUCCAAACAGAGCAGGAUAUAUCCCCGAGUCUCUCAUAAUGUUCCCUUCCCAUCAACACAAAUCUAUUUACAAACUCAAAAGAGGAGAAGCCAACUACUGAUGCCAGGCCACUAAAGCAGAGGCAGCCUGUGACUUGCCCACAUCUCUGUUGCUAAGAGCAUGGCACUAGUUACGAUAAAGUUGUGGGUUUCAUUGCUGCAAGAUCACAUCCAAAAAGAUGUGUACACUCAAUCGAGACGUCGAUAGAUAUAUUAUAUGUCUUGGGACAUCUUCAUUUGUCUCAAGACAUGGUGAUAUGGCUGGGUAUUGUAGUUAAUUGACAUGACAGGUUUAGUGUGUGUGUUUAAAAAAAAAAAAAAUUAACUAUCCUUGUGGGCACCAGAAGUGGGGACAUUUUGCCGGUCUCCACGAGAAAAAAAAACAUUAUUUUAGGCUUAAUGUUUAGAGUCAGGCUUAGGGUUCUAGGUUUAGGGUUAGGCUUAGGGUUCUAGGUUUAGGGUCAGGCUUAGGGUUCUAGGUUUAGG